ACUUUACAAUGCGAGAAAUCGUGAUAAGGGAACCCCGAGUGCCCGUAAAUUCGGGCUGUCCAUCAGUGUAAAUAACUGGUGAAGAAAGGGCCGGGCAAGACCGGUGCCAGCCGCCGCGGUAAUACCGGCGGCUCGAGUGGUGGCCACUAUUACUGGGCUUAAAGCGUACGUAGCUGGAUUGUUAAGUCUCUUGGGAAAUCCACCGGCUCAACCGAUGGGCGUUCAGGAGAAACUGGCAAUCUAGGGACCGGGAGAGGUGAGAGGUACUCCAGUGGUAGGAGUGAAAUCCUGUAAUCCUUGGGGGACCAACUGUGGCGAAGGCGUCUCACUAGAACGGCUCCGACAGUGAGGGACGAAAGCUGGGGGAGCAAACCGG
This 376-nucleotide ribosomal RNA is filed under the name uncultured archaeon. RNAcentral's name for it is "bacterial SSU rRNA". It matches the Rfam family "Archaeal small subunit ribosomal RNA", at positions 347 to 727 of the family's 1478-position model. The record is from RNAcentral.